This 431-nucleotide ribosomal RNA is filed under the name uncultured bacterium. Its description in RNAcentral is "partial 16S ribosomal RNA". It matches the Rfam family "Bacterial small subunit ribosomal RNA", at positions 29 to 507 of the family's 1533-position model. The record is from RNAcentral.
AACGAACGCUGGCGGCAGGCCUAACACAUGCAAGUCGAGCGCGCCUUCGGGUGAGCGGCGGACGGGUGAGUAACGCGUGGGAAUAUGCCCUUCUCUACGGAAUAGUCCUGGGAAACUGGGGGUAAUACCGUAUACGCCCUUUGGGGGAAAGAUUUAUCGGGGAAGGAUUAGCCCGCGUUGGAUUAGGUAGUUGGUGGGGUAAUGGCCUACCAAGCCGACGAUCCAUAGCUGGUUUGAGAGGAUGAUCAGCCACACUGGGACUGAGACACGGCCCAGACUCCUACGGGAGGCAGCAGUGGGGAAUCUUAGACAAUGGGGGCAACCCUGAUCUAGCCAUGCCGCGUGAGUGAUGAAGGCCUUAGGGUUGUAAAGCUCGUUCAGCUGGGAAGAUAAUGACGGUACCAGCAGAAGAAGCCCCGGCUAACUCCGUG